Molecule: long non-coding RNA, 526 nt
Organism: Thunnus maccoyii (southern bluefin tuna)
Lineage: Eukaryota; Metazoa; Chordata; Actinopteri; Scombriformes; Scombridae
Exons: 2
Source: RefSeq, a predicted model, not a curated record
UAAUAAUCUGUAGCUCCCUCUUCCUCUGUUUUUUUCUUUUUACAAAUGGCCUCUGCUCAAAUCACAGCAGAUCCAGACCGAAGCGGGUCAAAACAGCAGCAGCAGCAGCAGCAGCACUCCGGGAUGUGUAGUUUACUUCAGAUGGCAGAAGGAAAGAGUAGAGCGCGAUGCAGAUGCUGCACCAGCGUCUCUGAUUGGUUUUUAUACGCCUCCUCGCCUGAUCUCUGCCUGAGAUGACGAAAACAGGUGAAGACCUCUCACUCUGACUUCGAUUUCCUGCUACCAGAAAAAUGUUGUAGUCCAAAGUAUGUGACAUCGAGCACGUUGGAUCUCCCGAGAAAAGAGGAGGCGAUUAAAAGUUUUUAUAUUUUUUUUCACUCUCCAGACUCUCACACCGAGAAGUCUGAAUUAAGAGUAUUGGAUCAAACAUUUUCUCUAAAGUAAAAAAAAUGGUAGUAGUAUCAUGAUGGCUGUCUCUGUAUAUUUUAUUUUAUGUUUGAAAACAUUUUAAAUUUUAUAAAUUCAA